This 253-nucleotide ribosomal RNA is filed under the name uncultured bacterium. RNAcentral's name for it is "partial 16S ribosomal RNA". It matches the Rfam family "Bacterial small subunit ribosomal RNA", at positions 524 to 776 of the family's 1533-position model. The record is from RNAcentral.
UACGGAGGGGGCUAGCGUUGUUCGGAAUUACUGGGCGUAAAGCGCACGUAGGCGGUCUUUUAAGUCGGUGGUGAAAUCCUGGAGCUCAACUCCAGAACUGCCUUCGAUACUGGAAGACUUGAGUCCGGGAGAGGUGAGUGGAACUGCGAGUGUAGAGGUGAAAUUCGUAGAUAUUCGCAAGAACACCAGUGGCGAAGGCGGCUCACUGGCCCGGUACUGACGCUGAGGUGCGAAAGCGUGGGGAGCAAACAGG